Molecule: long non-coding RNA, 317 nt
Organism: Rhipicephalus microplus (southern cattle tick)
Lineage: Eukaryota; Metazoa; Arthropoda; Arachnida; Ixodida; Ixodidae
Source: RefSeq, a predicted model, not a curated record
CAGACCAAACAAUAUCACAGGAGUCCUUUGAUGUUGUUCACGCAGAAAUUACGUGCCUAAUUACCGGCAACCUCAACAAAAAUAAUAAAUACGACUGUUUAAUGUGGGCAACAGAUGAUGCGUCCAGCAUUCUUCCGGAAAACUGCAAGAAAAUAUUCUGUGAAAAGUGCAAUGCACCCAACUUUUUUGUUACAGAGCAAGACAAUAAGUGUUUGGAAUAUAAAUGACCUAAAAACUUCGUUUUCAUGAAAAAUGGGUAUUCAUAGAGAACGAUCUUCGUAAAAAAUGUUGGAAUAAAUACUUAUUUUCUGACAACA